AGAAACAGCACUAUAAAGAAUUCAGAGAAAGUUGAUGACUUGUAUAAACUGAUUAAAAAUAAUCAAAACCAAGCAAACAAUUAGAAUUCCUUCCGUAAUAUAAAGCAAAACAACAUUGAAAGAUAUCAGAACACUGAUCAUGGCAGAGACCAGUUUCAACUUCAGAGGACUUGAGGUGAAACUUUGUUCCCUUAUUUCGGUAGAAAGAUGGUCAACUAUGAAUGUAAAAUGGGACAUAUAUUGUAAGAUGCAGCCAAUGAAUUCAUUUAGCUCAACUUGAUAUGAUACGAUAGAAAGUUAUGUGGGGUGGAGGAGAGGGCUACCGAGAAGUGAUGGUACUGUCUUGAAAAAGCAUUAAUAAAAUGUUUUUAAAUGUUUUUUUUUUAAGGCUCCACUUUAGAAAAAAACGAACCGGUUGAAGAUUGUCUGUCAUCUGCACUUUGUUAUAUUGUUGGAUGGAUAAGUGAAGAGUCAUUAAAGCAGUUUUCAUUUCUCUGGGCACUUCCUCUCAUUUCUCCAAAACAUGACAUGCUAUGAGAAGGACAAGUUCGAAUGCCAAAGUAUCAUCCACAGCAUGACUUUCAUAGCCCUUGUCGCUCUGGUUUUGGCUCGCCGGUUGGGUUCCCCACAUCGCAAGUCAUUGGCAUCUUUGCAGUUAUCUUGAAGUUGAACAGGCUACUAGAGAUCUUCAAGCAGAGCCUAAUUGACCACUCA
Long non-coding RNA from Sarcophilus harrisii (Tasmanian devil), 714 nucleotides. RefSeq lists it as uncharacterized. The record is from RefSeq and is a predicted model, not a curated record. Lineage: Eukaryota; Metazoa; Chordata; Mammalia; Dasyuromorphia; Dasyuridae. The transcript has 4 exons.